Molecule: ribosomal RNA, 253 nt
Filed under: uncultured bacterium
Lineage: Bacteria
Description: partial 16S ribosomal RNA
Rfam family: Bacterial small subunit ribosomal RNA
Source: RNAcentral
UACAGAGGGUGCAAGCGUUAAUCGGAAUUACUGGGCGUAAAGCGUGCGUAGUCGGUUAUCUAAGUCGGAUGUGAAAUCCCCGGGCUCAACCUGGGAAUUGCAUUCGAUACUGGAUAGCUAGAGUUCGGCAGAGGGAAGUGGAAUUUCGGGUGUAGCGGUGAAAUGCGUAGAUAUCAGGAGGAACACCGAUGGCGAAGGCAGCUCGCUGGGACGGUACUGACGCUGAGGCGCGAAAGCGUGGGGAGCGAACAGG